CUUAUAAAAACAUAAUACAUAUAUAGCCAUGCUUUUUGGAAUUUGUUUUCGAAAAGGCAAGAUAUAAAUGGGAAGGAAUUUCGAGAGAGAGAGAGAGAGAUAAAAGAAUGAAAACAUAAAAACGUGGCAAACGGGUGUGUGAUAGUGGACAAGAAACG
RNAcentral lists this small RNA (158 nucleotides) under Caenorhabditis elegans. RNAcentral's name for it is "Unclassified non-coding RNA T01D1.10". Lineage: Eukaryota; Metazoa; Nematoda; Chromadorea; Rhabditida; Rhabditidae. The record is from RNAcentral.